AUUGAACGCUGGCGGAAUGCUUUACACAUGCAAGUCGAACGGCAGCACGGACUUCGGUCUGGUGGCGAGUGGCGAAUGGGUGAGUAAUGUAUCGGAACGUGCCCAGUCGUGGGGGAUAACGUAGUGAAAAUUACGCUAAUACUGCAUACGAUCUAUGGAUGAGAGCGGGGGAUCGCAACACCUCGCGCGAUUGGAGCGGCCGAUAUCUGAUAAGGUAGUUGGUGGGGUAAAGGCCCACCAAUCCAACGAUCUGUAGCUGGUCUGAGAGGACGACCAGCCACACUGGAACUGAGCCACGGUCCAGACUCCUACGGGAGGCAGCAGUGGGGAAUUUUGGACAAUGGACGCAAGUCUGAUCCAGCCAUUCCGCGUGCAGGAUGAAGGCCCUCGGGUUGUAAACUGCUUUUGUACGGAACGAAAAGGUCUCUCUUAAUACGGGGGACUCAUGACGGUACCGUAAGAAUAAGCACCGGCUAACUACGUGCCAGCCGCCGCCGUAA
RNAcentral lists this ribosomal RNA (500 nucleotides) under uncultured bacterium. Its description in RNAcentral is "partial 16S ribosomal RNA". It matches the Rfam family "Bacterial small subunit ribosomal RNA", at positions 30 to 523 of the family's 1533-position model. The record is from RNAcentral.